This is a long non-coding RNA of Lemur catta (Ring-tailed lemur), 1962 nucleotides long. RefSeq lists it as uncharacterized. NCBI's taxonomy places the organism in Eukaryota, Metazoa, Chordata, Mammalia, Primates, Lemuridae. The transcript is spliced from 2 exons. The record is from RefSeq and is a predicted model, not a curated record.
GCUGCCGCUGCGGCGCCGGCUCCGAGGUUCCGGAACCUGGGAGGGCUUCCGGAACGAGAGCGGCUGUGCUCCGGGGCCCGCGCGCCGCGGCGGGUGUGCCUUGAACUGUGGGUGGGCGACAGGUGUGUCUCCCGUGGGGCACGCGGGGCGCCGUGUGCGGUGUGGACGGCCGCUAACACGAGUUAGCGAGUGAUAACGCGAGUGCGCGCCGGGGCGUGCGGGCGCUGCGGGCGGAGGGCCCGGUGCGGACUCCCCGGUGGGACGAUGAGGCGGCGUCCCCGCAAGGCCACCGCCGGGAGAGGCGCGGCGGCCUGGCCAGAGCGUCCCGUCCGCUCCCGCUGGGGAAGGGCCCGGACUCGGCCGCGGAGCACCCCCGUCACCCCCACCCCAGCACCGCGAGGGAGGCGGGGACAGCUGCGCGGCGACGCCUGCUGUCCCCCCCCAGGAACCGGGUGUGGGUGCCGCCUGGCCGAGAACUCUCCGCACGGGGCCCGAGUAUCCGACCAGGGAAGAGAGAAAUUUAGGACCGUGUUUUUCACGUUGUUUCAAGACCUCUCGGAGUCGGAGUGGUGGCCCUCAAGCGUGGGUGCCUCGGUUCCCUGUCGCAGCAGGCGUGAAUGAAUGAGUGAACGAGUGAAUGAAAGGUGAAUACAUUUAAAACAAAACCACCCCACACACCACGGUGAGGGCUUAUUGAAGACCCCCAAGCCACUUCGGAUUAAGUCAAAAUCAGAAAUUAAGCCAAUCAAAAGUAUAUAACUGUGCCUAUGCUGGAGUUGUUGACUGUUUUUGAUGUUUUAGAUUUUUUUUUUUUCGCUGCUCAGGAAGCUAAAAUAGAGGAAGUUGUUCAGUAGUGCCAUCUGCUAAUUCACCAUGGUUUAAAAAAAUGAAAUAGUCAUCAGCAAAGACAUAUCCACUAAGGGGGUUCACUCACUCACCAUAUGGGGGCCCUUCCCUUCACCGGUCAGUCAACGCGAGAAUCCCAUCCAAUCUCCUGGAGUUAGUUAGUAAAGUCACAUUGCGGGCAGUGUGAGAGGAGCGGGAGGUGCACGCUGGCCCGGGUGGCACCAGAAAUGGGGGAGCCACCUCCGUGUGUGUGCACUGGCCACUCGUACAGACCACCAAGGCCCGUUUGCCAGCCCUCACCGUGCCCACCGCAGGAAGACCCUGCAGUGCUUCAGAAGGUUCCUCUUUCUGAAGAUGUCACUGGGAUGGAGAAACGGAUUAUUCACGAUGCUCCCAGUUGCCCGGGAAAAGCCCAGAAGGCUGAGUGAAAGGAACAUGCUGGACUUCUUAAAUGACACUCCAUUAUUUUGGAAAAGCAAAUGCUGACUUCCUGAUUCAUUUGUGGUGUCUGUGUCUGGAACUUACCGUCACGGUACCUCUGCAUCACCCGGGACAGUGGCUCUCAGCUGUGGCUGUGCGGAGGACUCCCGGCAGAGCUUCUCAGUGACCAGCGCCUGGCUCCACUCCUGGAGGUGCUGGCCUUCGUGUGCUCAGAGCAUUCGCACCGUCAGCCCAGACGGAGAACGGACCGAGAAGGCUGGUUGGCCGUCUACAUUUAUCUUAAUUUUCUGUUCAAUGUUAAGUGCGGUUCCUUGAGACACUGGGUCAUUUAAGAGGACAGAGAGCACAAUUAUCCACCUAACUUGGAGUUUCUAACUGAAGCAGAGCCCUGCCACAGAGCCCCAGACCCACGGCCACUGCAUUGCGUGGUCUGCCUGAAAGGGGCAGGCUGAAGAGGGCAGGAUGGCCAAGGACAGCCGAGGACAUGGCCCCAGAGCCCGUGGGGUGUCAGCUGACCGGGGUGGGGAUCGUCAGGGCUCGGUGGUGCCUGGGCCGUGGGCGUGGCAGACAGUCAUGGCAGCGCUGUUCUCACACCUUUACUUGUAUCAACUCACUAAACCUUCCCAACAGCUCUGCCCAGUGUCACUGUCCCCACUUUACAGAGGAGGAAACUGA